This 468-nucleotide ribosomal RNA is filed under the name uncultured bacterium. RNAcentral's name for it is "partial 16S ribosomal RNA". It matches the Rfam family "Bacterial small subunit ribosomal RNA", at positions 28 to 507 of the family's 1533-position model. The record is from RNAcentral.
GACGAACGCUGGCGGCGUGCUUAACACAUGCAAGUCGAACGGAAAGGCCCUGCUUUUGUGGGGUGCUCGAGUGGCGAACGGGUGAGUAACACGUGAGUAACCUGCCCUUGACUUUGGGAUAACUUCAGGAAACUGGGGCUAAUACCGGAUAGGAGCUCCUGCUGCAUGGUGGGGGUUGGAAAGUUUCGGCGGUUGUGGAUGGACUCGCGGCUUAUCAGCUUGUUGGUGGGGUAGUGGCAUACCAAGGCUUUGACGGGUAGCCGGCCUGAGAGGGGGACCGGCCUCCAUGGGACUGAGGUACGGCCCAGACUCCUACGGUGGGCAGCGGUGGGGAAUAUUGCCCAAUGGGCGCAAGCCUGAGGCAGCAACGCCGCGUGCGGGAUGACGGCCUUCGGGUUGUAAACCGCUUUCGCCUGUGACGAAGCGUGAGUGACGGUAAUGGGUAAAGAAGCACCGGCUAACUACGUG